AGUGAACGCUGGCGGUAGGCCUAACACAUGCAAGUCGAACGGCAGCACAGUAAGAGCUUGCUCUUACGGGUGGCGAGUGGCGGACGGGUGAGGAAUACAUCGGAAUCUACUUUUUCGUGGGGGAUAACGUAGGGAAACUUACGCUAAUACAGCAUACGACCUACGGGUGAAAGCAGGGGAUCUUCGGACCUUGCGCGAUUGAAUGAGCCGAUGUCGGAUUAGCUAGUUGGCGGGGUAAAGGCCCACCAAGGCGACGAUCCGUAGCUGGUCUGAGAGGAUGAUCAGCCACACUGGAACUGAGACACGGUCCAGACUCCUACGGGAGGCAGCAGUGGGGAAUAUUGGACAAUGGGCGCAAGCCUGAUCCAGCCAUACCGCGUGAGUGAAGAAGGCCUUCGGAUUGUAAAGCCCUUUUGUUGGGAAAGAAAAGCAGCAGGUUAAUACCCCGCUGUUCUGACGGUACCCAAAGAAUAAGCACCGGCUAACUUCGUG
Molecule: ribosomal RNA, 492 nt
Filed under: uncultured bacterium
Lineage: Bacteria
Description: partial 16S ribosomal RNA
Rfam family: Bacterial small subunit ribosomal RNA
Source: RNAcentral